AGGGUUCGAUUCUGGCUCAGGAUGAACGCUAGCUACAGGCUUAACACAUGCAAGUCGAGGGGCAGCAUGACGAUAGCUUGCUAUUGUCGAUGGCGACCGGCGCACGGGUGAGUAACGCGUAUCCAACCUUCCCCAUAGUAGGGCAUAGCCCGUAGAAAUGCGGAUUAAUACCCUAUGUUUUCCGAAGCAGACAUCUAAUUUGGAACAAAGGUUCACCGCUAUGGGAUGGGGAUGCGUCUGAUUAGGUUGUUGGCGGGGUAACGGCCCACCAAGCCUUCGAUCAGUAGGGGUUCUGAGAGGAAGGUCCCCCACAUUGGAACUGAGACACGGUCCAAGCUCCUACGGGAGGCAGCAGUGAGGAAUAUUGGUCAAUGGGCGAGAGCCUGAACCAGCCAAGUAGCGUGCAGGAAGACGGCCCUAUGGGUUGUAAACUGCUUUUAUGCGGGGAUAAAGUGGGCUACGUGUAGUCCUUUGCAGGUACCGCAUGAAUAAGGACCGGCUAAUUCCGUGCCAGCAGCUGC
Molecule: ribosomal RNA, 521 nt
Filed under: uncultured bacterium
Lineage: Bacteria
Description: bacterial SSU rRNA
Rfam family: Bacterial small subunit ribosomal RNA
Source: RNAcentral